Cryptotermes secundus is the source of this 756-nucleotide long non-coding RNA. RefSeq lists it as uncharacterized. The transcript is spliced from 3 exons. NCBI's taxonomy places the organism in Eukaryota, Metazoa, Arthropoda, Insecta, Blattodea, Kalotermitidae. The record is from RefSeq and is a predicted model, not a curated record.
ACAUGGGGAAAAUUAGACAAAAUGCCUGCUUUGGGACAGUUUACUGGAAAUCCAGGGGUGAAGCAAAUUUCAUCGGACGCAACGCAAAUGUCUGAAGUGGCGGAACUGUUUUUCCACAAUUCACAAUUUGAGCAUCGUUGAUGUUCAAAGGAGACAUGGACAGGCUGUCCUACCACAUAACAAAUUUCAUCAGAAUUCUUCCAGUGUUGAUGAUGAUAAGGAUAAACAGAUGGACAGACAAAAAAUCUGGUUCUGUGGUAAUUUUAUGUACUUUCUGUGGCACUGGCAUGAAUAAUGUAUACAAAGACACAUGGCCAAAUAAACUUCAGCUACAACAACUUCAGGCUUGAAUGAUUUGCAUCUUCACAGUUGCUGCUUCUGCUAUAGUUGAAGCCAAAGUGAAGACUGACUACUACUGACGUCUUCGAAGGUCAAAAACAAACUGAACUCAUCUCCUGUUGAAGUUGGAGUUUCAUAACCUCGUCUCAGAUGUUGUUAUGCAACAAACCCUCUGUUGUCCUUUCAUCUCUGGGGAAACACAUUUGUUGUUUGGGCUGUUCCUAUGCAACGGCCCACUGUCAUUGCGUUUCCAUGAAAGUAUGCCUUCUGGAUUCAUGGCAUAUGAUAAUAUGUAUAAUCAUUUUGUCAUUUUUCACACAUAAUUACCAAUGAAUGGGUAAAUGAACUGAAGAAGAGAGAGAAGGAUGAAACCAGGCUUCCCAAAAGCUGCUUCCAUCAGACCCUGGUAGGAGAAAG